RNAcentral lists this unclassified non-coding RNA (229 nucleotides) under uncultured fungus. Its description in RNAcentral is "sequence contains ITS1, 5.8S rRNA gene". The stretch from base 181 to 229 matches the Rfam family "5.8S ribosomal RNA", at positions 1 to 49 of the family's 154-position model. The record is from RNAcentral. Lineage: Eukaryota; Fungi.
UCUCCGUAGGUGAACCUGCGGAGGGAUCAUUACUGAGUGAGGGCCCCCGGCCCGACCUCCAACCCUUUGUGUAUCUCGACCCUGUUGCCUCGGGGGCGACCCGGCCUUCGGGCGUCGGGGCCCCCGGAGCCCAUCAAACCCUGCGUAACUAAGUCGUCGGAGUUUAAACAAAUUAAACAAAACUUUCAACAACGGAUCUCUUGGUUCGGGCAUCGAUGAAGAACGCAGC